UCCUACGGGGGCAGCAGUGGGGAAUAUUGGGCAAUGGACGCAAGUCUGACCCAGCAACGCCGCGUGAAGGAAGAAGGCUUUCGGGUUGUAAACUUCUUUUAAGGGGGAAGAGCAGAAGACGGUACCCCCUGAAUAAGCCACGGCUAACUACGUGCCAGCAGCCGCGGUAAUACGUAGGUGGCAAGCGUUGUCCGGAUUUACUGGGUGUAAAGGGCGUGCAGCCGGAGAGACAAGUCAGAUGUGAAAUCCACGGGCUCAACCUGUGGCCUGCAUUUGAAACUGUGUUUCUUGAGUACUGGAGAGGC
RNAcentral lists this ribosomal RNA (305 nucleotides) under uncultured bacterium. Its description in RNAcentral is "bacterial SSU rRNA". It matches the Rfam family "Bacterial small subunit ribosomal RNA", at positions 337 to 658 of the family's 1533-position model. The record is from RNAcentral.